UCCAAUGAUGAUCAUUGUGCUUCGGCACGCUGGAAAUUACCGACCAAGGCUUCUGCCUGUGCCGAUAAACUAUGGCUGUUUCUGAUU
This 87-nucleotide small nucleolar RNA is filed under the name Bipolaris zeicola 26-R-13. RNAcentral's name for it is "A. fumigatus snoRNA Afu_300". It matches the Rfam family "A. fumigatus snoRNA Afu_300". Lineage: Eukaryota; Fungi; Ascomycota; Dothideomycetes; Pleosporales; Pleosporaceae. The record is from Rfam by way of RNAcentral.